UCCCUGGUUGUCCAAUGGUUAGGACUCAGUGCUUUCACUGCCAGGGCCAGGUGGGCCCAGGUUCAAUCCCUGGUCGGGGAA
Bos taurus (domestic cattle) is the source of this 81-nucleotide non-coding RNA. Lineage: Eukaryota; Metazoa; Chordata; Mammalia; Artiodactyla; Bovidae. The record is from Rfam.